CCUCGGGCGCAGCUCAGGCCACGCCCACCCGCUGUGCGGCUGUGGGCACUUUGUGAGUUUGGGGAUUGUUGCGUCCUGUAAGCGGACUUCCCUGCUCAGCUGGCUCCCGGUUUCUCUGCUCACCUCCGGAUAAAUUACGGCGACUUCAGCGACGCGCAUGGCGCCUCCCAGCCGCUGCGAGUGUCCCUCUCCUUCCCGGCGUUUUCCUGGGUUGCUUCUGGCGGCCCUGGCGUUGCUGCUGUCCUCUCGCUCUGAUGCAUGUGGGCCACCACCAACAUUUCAAGCUAUGGAGCUCACUAGCAGACCAAAACCCUAUUAUAAGGUUGGGGAAAAAGUAAACUAUGACUGUAAAAAAGGAUACCACCACUUCGCUCCUUUUCUCACCCAUACUAUUUGUGAUCGGAAUCACACAUGGCUACCGAUCUCAGAUGAGCCCUGUGUUAAAAAAGUGUGUCACUAUAUACCUAAUCCUUUACAUGGCCAAGCAAUCCUUGCAAAUGGGACUUACUCAUUUGGAAAUCAGCUGCACUUCAUUUGUAAUGAUGGUUAUUACUUAAUUGGUAAAGAAAUUCUAUAUUGUGAACUUAAAGGAUCAGAAGCAGUUUGGAGUAGUAAGCCCCCAAUAUGUCAAAAGAUUCUGUGUAAACCACCUCCAAAAAUAAGCAAUGGAAAACACACCUUUAGUGAGGCAGACGUAUUUGAAUAUCUUGAUGCAGUAACUUAUAGUUGUGAUCCUGCACCUGGACCAGAUCCAUUUUCACUUGUUGGAGAGAGCACGAUUUACUGUCGUGACAAUUCAGUAUGGAGUGGUGAUGCUCCAGAGUGUAAAGUGGUCAAAUGUCAAUUUCCAGUAAUCGAAAAUGGAAGACAGAUAGCAGGACUUGGAAAAAAAUUUUACUACAAAGCAACAGUUAUAUUUGAAUGUUAUGAGGGUUUUCACAUCGUUGGCAGUGACACAAUUGUCUGUAACAGUAACAGUACUUGGGAUCCCCCAGUUCCAAAGUGUGUUAAAGAGCCGCCUCCUUCCAGUACAAAACCUCCAACCUUGAGUCAUUCAGUGUCGACUUCUCCUGCUACAAUAUCUCCAACUUCCUGUGUCUCAGGUCCUAGACCUACUUACAAGCCUCCAGUUUCACGUUAUCCAGGAUAUCCCAAUCCUGAUGAAGGAAGGCUUGACAGUUUGGAUGAAUGGGCCAUUGCUCUGAUUGUUAUUGCUAUACUUGUUGCAAUUGCAAUAAUUUCUGUUGGCCUGCACAGAUAUCUUCAAAGAAGGAAGAAGAAAGGGUAAAUUAAAGCAUGUUUUUUCUAACUUCUUAGUCUUUCUUAUCCUUGACGUGCUUUUGUACAGUUUAAGUUUGUAAUCUUAAGUAUUGCAUGCUAUCUUUUUUUCAGACAAUGUGCCUGCGUUAGUGUGUCCUACCAAUUGCAUUUCUUUACUAAAAAUAUUUUCAGCUUUUAAUAUCACUACAGCAUAAAAAGUCUGUGCAAGUUACUACGGCUAUUAUGACUUUAAGAAAACUUAUCUGGAAUUUGAGGUUUAAAUUAUUUAACAAAUCGUGACCACUAUGAGGCCUUCUCUACUACCCUAACUAUUCUCUGUUUCAUAAAUUGCACUGGUGGCCAAAAUUAAAUCUAAAAUAUUUCACUGUGGAGACUAUGACAGUUGUAUGCACUAGAAUUUUUAUAAUGAAAGUUUCCACUUGUCUAUAUAACUUAGCUAGUUGUAAGAAGCUAUGUAGGCAUCUCAUUUAAAUACCCAAUUUGAUGCCGUUUCAUUUGAGUUGUUAUUUAUACAUGUUAAACUGGGGGAUUAAAAACAACACUAUCAGAUUUCCCUCUUAUGCCCUCUGAAUUUACCAGAUUGCAGUAAAACUGAUGGGGUUAAACUUGCUGAAAGGGGUUAGAUUUAUAAGGUACCUCAAUUAACUUUUGUGUGUCUUUUAAUCUAUAAAAAUGUAAAAAUUGAGUGGGCUUAGAAUAGUAGAAAAUUGUAAAAGUACAUAUCUUCUAACAAAAAUAGGGUUUUUAAACGUCAAACUCAAAUUUUAGUUAGAGAGCUUAAAUUUAACAGAAUACUUAGAAUGAAUCCUGGAACAUAAACUAAGAUUAGGUGCUUCAAAAUUUCUGAAAGAUAAUAUACAUUCAUGUUUAUUGAUUUUUUUAAAAUGUUGCCCUCUAUAGUUUUAGAAAUAGCUUUGAAAUCUAACCUAAUUAAGAUUUUUGGUACUCAUGAUUUUAUGAUAUAUAUGUCCCUUUUAUACUGAUUAUCAAGUUUGGGCCAAGUCAUAAAAGUACAUUCUUUACUCAAAAGAAACUCAAACUUUUUUCAUAUUACUUGGUUAUCUUUUUAAAUACCCAUAAUCCCUUCACUUGAAUCUUAAAUCUUAUAUUUAUGGAAUGUGAUAUGCAUAGUUGAUUUAUCUAUCAGUUGUAUGUUUUAAAAGUUACAUGUCUACAGCAAUGUGAGUACAAAAUACUAAUAAUGGAAUAUUUGCACAAGUCCAUAAGAUUUGUGUAUAAACAACCUCUAAGGAAAGCAAACAAAGUCACAUUCUGCUCAUUUUCCUUCUUUGUUUAAAAUAUCACUGCAUUAGAAUUUUUAAAGGUUACUUAACAAGUAUUAAUCAAACUCUCUCUAGCUAGCAGUUAAUGGGUCUCUCUCUUUUUUUUUUUUUUUUUUUUUUUUGAGAUGGAGUAUCGUCACCCUAUCGCCCAGGUUGGAGUACAAUGGCACAACCUUGGCGAGUUCAAAGGAUUCUCCUGCCUCAGGCUUCCAAGUAGCUGAGAUUACAAGCAUGCAAUACCACCCCGGCUAAUUACAAGUGCACAACACCACCCCAGCAAAUCUGUUGUACCUGUACCAAAGACCAGGUUUCACCAUGUUGGUCAGGCUGGUCUUAAACUCCCAACCUCAGGUAAUCUGCCUGCCUCAGCCUCCCAAAGUGCUGGGAUUACAGGGAUGAGCCACCACACCUGGCCUAAAUGGAUCUUUCAAAACUGAACAGUUAUCUGACUAUUGUACUCCCAAAUUAAUGGUUCAAUAGCAAUAGUGAACUGAGAUUGCAAAAUUAAUUUGGUGAUUUUUUUAAAACCCAUAUGUUACAGCAUAGGGUCCAACAGACAAUUGCUAUUAUUAAAAUUUUAAAAUAUUUUGGGAAGGUGUAAUAUCUUUAGCCAAUGCAACAUAAGUAAUUCUGUAAAUAGUAGCACAACUUGAGGAAAAAUCAUCCAAAAAAUAGUGUGAGAGAGGAAACUCAUGAUUGCCUUUGAAUUUUAAAAUAUAAACUGCAUGGGACUCUUUUAGAAUAGAUGUUGCCCUUUUUAUGACAGGAACAUACUCGAUUGGAAAUUCAGCGUAAUAUGUAUGGCUGAAUCCAAAGCUAGGCUCUCCUUAUGGAUCUGUUAUUUUGUAGUUCCUGUUUAUUUUGAUAGCUGAAUUGAAUGUGAGAGUGGUUUAUCUUUCUUCUUCAGAGUCUAGAGCAAAUGCUUCUCUGACUUUAAUGUGCACAUUAAUUACCUGGAAAUCUCUUAAAGUACAGGAUCUGAUUCAUAAGGUUUGGGAUGGAGCCUGAGACCCUGCCUGUCUAGUGAGCUUCCAGCACUGAUGCUGCUGCUGGGCUUGGGCUGCAUUGACCAGGGUGUCGACCACUACUGAUGUGCCCAUGUUGUUGAGAUCUGAAGAAAUGCUAUCAAGCUUAUUUUUCUAAUGUUAAAGAUAAUUGGAGUUUUUAAAAUUCCCCAUCCGUGUGUAUCCUUAAAAAAAGGCUCUGGGGUAAUAAAUAGUACUUGGCUUGUCUUACUUUUUUUUUUAACUCCUUAAAAACAUAAAGAUUUCUAUGAUUUUCUUUGCACCGUUUAAUGUCCAUAAUCUUGUCCCCCCAGAUUGGCUGUUUUGGCCUUAGAAACUUCUUAUAAAGAUUAUAAAAUGUCUAGAGUUACUUCUCUCCUUCCAGGGGUAACUGGAAGCAGGCUAGCAGGCACAAAUAAUCGCAAAUUGCUGUUAAAGCCUGGCACAAAAUGUAUUUGAUGUAAACUGGUAUUUAUGAUGAUUUGGGAACAUAAUUACCCUUCUGCAGCCUUCAUCUCAAAGUACAAAAAUAGUGUAAGUAGUCAUUUUAAGAUCAUCCAACAUCAUUUACAUUACUUGACGAAAGAUGGCCAAAAGGUUAAAGGAUUCUGCUUUCGUAGCUCUCAGCUAAGAACAGUAUAGGAUACCAGUUGGUCCAAAACAGCUCCCAUCCACAUGCUCCCUCCUUUUCCCCUCCCAUUUCCUUUCUUUACUGAUUCUUCUGCCAUACUUUUUACUCUUGGAAGCCACAGCCCCGUCUUUGCUACUGCUUGAGUUCUGUAUUGCAUGGUAUGACUGUACUUCUGAACAACGUAUGAUUUUUGUUCACAUAAAUAUUUUCAUUACUUGUAAUGAUUUUUUAACUCUGGUUAAGUUGUCCCUGACCAUGUGACAGUUUGGCUAAGUUAGUAAAGUUAUUUGCAUAAUUUACAUAUUUAUUACCUGUGACAAAUUGUUGUUCCUUUUUUCCCUUGGGGUAUUUGUUAUUUUGUAUAACCUAAACUGACUUUUAAUGUUACAUUAAUGUUGACUGACCCAAUUACUUUGU
Sapajus apella (tufted capuchin) is the source of this 4616-nucleotide RNA transcript. It is a transcript of the gene named CD46 molecule, with no coding region annotated. The transcript is spliced from 14 exons. Lineage: Eukaryota; Metazoa; Chordata; Mammalia; Primates; Cebidae. The record is from RefSeq and is a predicted model, not a curated record.